Molecule: ribosomal RNA, 497 nt
Filed under: uncultured bacterium
Lineage: Bacteria
Description: partial 16S ribosomal RNA
Rfam family: Bacterial small subunit ribosomal RNA
Source: RNAcentral
GAUGAACGCUGGCGGCGUGCCUAAUACAUGCAAGUCGAGCGAACAGAUGAGGAGCUUGCUCCUCUGACGUUAGCGGCGGACGGGUGAGUAACACGUGGAUAACCUACCUAUAAGACUGGGAUAACUUCGGGAAACCGGAGCUAAUACCGGAUAAUAUAUUGAACCGCAUGGUUCAAUAGUGAAAGACGGUUUUGCUGUCACUUAUAGAUGGAUCCGCGCCGCAUUAGCUAGUUGGUAAGAUAACGGCUUACCAAGGCAACGAUGCGUAGCCGACCUGAGAGGGUGAUCGGCCACACUGGAACGGAGACACGGUCCAGACUCCUACGGGAGGCAGCAGUAGGGAAUCUUCCGCAAUGGGCGAAAGCCUGACGGAGCAACGCCGCGUGAGUGAUGAAGGUCUUCGGAUCGUAAAACUCUGUUAUUAGGGAAGAACAAAUGUGUAAGUAACUAUGCACGUCUUGACGGUACCUAAUCAGAAAGCCACGGCUAACUACGUG